AGUCACUGACAUUAGAUACCCGCGUAGUCCAGGGUGUAAACGCUGCAGACUUGGUGUUGGAAGUCCUUUGGGGGCAUUCAGUGCCGGAGAGAAGUUGUUAAGUCUGCUACUUGGGGAGUACGUCCGCAAGGAUGAAACUUAAAGGAAUUGGCGGGGGAGCACCGCAACGGGAGGAGCGUGCGGUUUAAUUUGGAUUCAACACCGUAAAACUCACCAGGGAAGACUGUUACAUGAAAGCCGAGAUGAAGACUCUGCUAGAUUUUCAG
RNAcentral lists this ribosomal RNA (266 nucleotides) under uncultured archaeon. RNAcentral describes it as "partial 16S ribosomal RNA". It matches the Rfam family "Archaeal small subunit ribosomal RNA", at positions 716 to 982 of the family's 1478-position model. The record is from RNAcentral.